Molecule: ribosomal RNA, 502 nt
Filed under: uncultured bacterium
Lineage: Bacteria
Description: partial 16S ribosomal RNA
Rfam family: Bacterial small subunit ribosomal RNA
Source: RNAcentral
AGCGAACGCUGGCGGCGUGCCUAACACAUGCAAGUCGAACGUGAAAGGGAGCAAUCCCAAGUAAAGUGGCGUACGGGUGAGUAACACGUAGGUAAUCUACCCCAGAAUCUGGAAUAACCGGCCGAAAGGCUGGCUAAUACUGGAUAGAGCGACGGAAUCCGUAAUUGGGUUUUUCGGGAAAGGGAGCCUGUAAAAAGGCCUUCGUUCUGGGAUGAGCCUGCGUCCCAUCAGCUAGUUGGUGAGGUAAAAGCUUACCAAGGCAAUGACGGGUAGCUGGUCUGAGAGGACGGUCAGCCACACUGGAACUGAAACACGGUCCAGACUCCUACGGGGGGCAGCAGUGGGGAAUCUUGCGCAAUGGACGAAAGUCUGACGCAGCAACGCCGCGGGAGUGAAGAAGGCCUUCGGGUUGUAAAGCUCUGUCGAGUGGGACGAAAAUGCUUGGAGUUCACAGCUCCAGGAACUGACGGUACCACUAAAGGAAGCACCGGCUAACUCCGUG